RNAcentral lists this small nucleolar RNA (140 nucleotides) under Drosophila ananassae. Its description in RNAcentral is "snoRNA:GF26168". The record is from RNAcentral. Lineage: Eukaryota; Metazoa; Arthropoda; Insecta; Diptera; Drosophilidae.
UUGCCCCCGGUUGAGUACGGAAAUAAGUGUUUAAACAUCUUGAACAGUUUCCUUAAUUAAGGGUGGCCAAAGUAAAAGUUGCACGAGGCACUUGCUCCGCCCUCCCCCCGGGAGUGGAGCAGCCAAGAGCAACGAUAGCU